GUGCUCGCUUUGGCAGCACAUAUACUAAAAUUGGAACGAUACAGAGAUUAGCAUGGCCCCUGCACAAGGAUGACACACAAAUUCGUGAAGCAUUCCAUAUAAAA
This 104-nucleotide small nuclear RNA is filed under the name Myotis davidii. Lineage: Eukaryota; Metazoa; Chordata; Mammalia; Chiroptera; Vespertilionidae. The record is from RNAcentral.